UACGUAGGGUGCAAGCGUUGUCCGGAAUUAUUGGGCGUAAAGAGCUCGUAGGCGGUUUGUCGCGUCGGCUGUGAAAACUCGGGGCUCAACCCCGAGCCUGCAGUCGAUACGGGCAGACUAGAGUGCUGUAGGGGAGACUGGAAUUCCUGGUGUAGCGGUGAAAUGCGCAGAUAUCAGGAGGAACACCGGUGGCGAAGGCGGUCUGCUGGGCAGUUGCUGACACUGAGGCGCGACAGCGUGGGGAGCAAACAGG
RNAcentral lists this ribosomal RNA (253 nucleotides) under uncultured bacterium. RNAcentral describes it as "partial 16S ribosomal RNA". It matches the Rfam family "Bacterial small subunit ribosomal RNA", at positions 524 to 776 of the family's 1533-position model. The record is from RNAcentral.